AUAUUAUAAAAGCUCUAAAGUACUUGCAUGUAAACUAUACAUUACCUGCCAGUUCUGCAGUUCAUUUGGAUUGUUUCGAACUACAUCAUUAUAGCAAAAUGAUGUUAUAAUAUUCUAAAUUUAUAACUUGAUAUUAUGCUUAUACCAUUAGGGCUCCAGAUCAGAUUAGUUUUUGAAUAAUUUACACUUUCAUUUCAAACAGGUACUUGUUUAUUUUCAAAAAUGAAGAAUGAAAAAAUCUGCUUGAUUUUAGAGAAAACAGAAAGCAUUAUCGCUCAUAUUCUUCAAACAAAAUUUAAAAAAAUACAAAUGUUGUAUAAAGAACAGUUGUUUUAUAAAUAUGUACAUUAUAGAUGCCACAUUCUUUUUAGGGUACUACUAAAACUCAACAUUUGGGGGAAAAUUACGAGAAACAUUUUAAAGAACAAAGUACAAAAUGUAGUCAUUGACUUACAAAAUGAUCUGCAGCCCUGCAGUGCCGUUAGGUAGGGUAUGGUUAUUAAGGGUAGCACAUUGAUGUAAAAAGUGAUGUUUUUGAUAUGGAGGCUGACAUUAAGUUUGCUUAAUUCGUUGCAGCAAUAUUGCUUUAACCUGAAAUUGUUGCAGAGCUGGUAUUUUAUUUAUCUGGGCAUAUUUUAAAAGGCUUAUCAAUGCAUUUGAUAGAUGUCCUUUCUUGUUCGUAAUCUCAUAAUUAGUGAUUUGUUUAUGCACAGUCAUUUGUGCCAUGCAUAGUGUAAAACCUGUUGAUAAAAACCAUUGUGUGUUGUGUAGUUAAUAUUGAUAAACAUCGAUGUUUGUUAGUGAAGCUGUGUAUGCAUUAUCCUUGAUACUUGUCGGUGAUGAGUGUAUAGUCAUUGAUAAACACAACUGUUUGCAGUGUUAUUGAUAAACACUAUGGAGUGUAUAGUCAUUGAUAAACACAACUGUUUGCAGUGUUAUUGGUAAACACUAUGGAGUGUAUAGUCAUUGAUAAACACAACUGUUUGCAGUGUUAUUGAUAAACACUUUUGAGUGUAUAGUCAUUGAUAAACACAAUUGUUUGCAGUGUUAUUGAUAAACACUAUGGAGUGUAUAAUCAUUGAUAAACACAACUGUAUGCAGUGUUAUUGCUAAACACUUCCGAGUGUAAAGACAUUGAUAAACACAAAUGUUUGCCUUGUUAUUGAUAAACACUGUGUAAAGUCAUUGAAUAACACAAACAUAUGCAGUGAUAUUAACACAAAUGUGUGUAGUGAUAUUGAUAAACACUGAUGAGUGUAUAAUCAAUAUUUGCAGUGCUACUGAUAAACACUGAUAGUGUAUAGUCAUUGAUGAAACACUGAUGGUGUAUAGUGAUUGAUGAAACACUGAUGAGUGUAUAGUCAUUGAUGAAACACUGGAGUGUAUAGUGAUUGAUGAAACACUGAUGAGUGUAUAGUCAUUGAUGAAACACUGAUGAGUGUAUAGUCAUUGAUGAAACACUGAUGAUGUAUAGUCAUUGAUGAAACACUGAUGAGUGUAUAGUCAUUGAUGAAACACUGAUGAGUGUAUAGUGAUGGAUAAACUCCAGUGUUUGUAGUGUGAUUGAUAAAUACUGUUAUAUUUAGCAUCAUUGAAUGGGUGUGUAAAUGAAGAAAGCAUACAUUACAUAUCUAAUUAAAAGAAAAGUUUAAGAUUUGGAAACCUGACAUUUCUCCAUCUAUUUGCCAUCUUGUAUUUUUUUUUUUUUUUUUUGUAUUUUUGGAUUGAGGACAACAGAAAGUGUCUGCGAAAUAGAGCAGAGUUUUCAAACAAGUACCGGUAUACUGUAUUCACCAUAUUAUUUUCUUAACACUGCAUAGUUUUCGUUUUCUAUUUGCAGCCUAAGAGAAUAUCUAGCAAUGGUGAUUUUUAAGAGGUUUUAUAUGCUAUAUUUGUCUGUAACAGAUUAAAGGGAAAUGAAUGCCUUAUUACAUGAAGAAACUUUUCUUUACUUAGUUACACUGAAAUUUUGUUUUAUGUUGCCAUUUUUUUUUUGUAACAUUGUUACUCUUUGAUAUAUUUUGAAAAUUCUUUCACCACAAUGAAUUAAGAGCAAGUAGGCUAUAUGUGUGAACAGUGUUGCCUUUCACUUUAAAACAAUGAAAAAUACAAAAUAACUGUUUUGAAGCAUUUUGAACUACAUGUAUUCUAAUUUUAAAUAUCACAGUGCCUAUAAGUUCAUGAGACAAAUAUUGUGAUAUCCUCUGAUUGAGAUUGAGAAAGUUGGCUUGUACACCAUAUUUAAGAAAAGGAAAUUAGGAUUGUUUAGAAACAUUGACCUCUCCCUCGUAUCAGUUGGAUGGUUCCAUUCAUGAUUUGGAUUAACCAUUUAGAAUUUUUACAUUUUUGUCAUAUGAAGUUGUUACUGCAAAUUUAAAGGAAGUAUUAACGUUGUUGGUAUACAUAUUGUUCAGUACAAAGUCUGUAUGUGAGAGAGUGGGGUUUCCAAAUCAUAAAAUGUUUUUUUCUUGUCUUUCAUGUUACAUUAACCAUAAAUAGUCAUAAUGCACUUCUAGAAUUUCUAGAUGGUAAAAUGUAGACUUAAAAAUGCAUUUACAAAAAUGCAGAGUUCACUAAAAGACCCUUGAGAUUGUACAAAAAAAAAUGUGCUGAUCAGUAAGUUAUGCUUACAACUGCUUAAUUCCUUCUUUUGGAAUAUUGCACGAAGACACCAGACCUAAACUUUCUAUGUUGUGCAUUAGAAAAAAGUAUGUAUGUUCUUGCUGCUAUGUUAGAAUUCCUUUGUUGGUAAGUCUGAUGUAGAUAAUAUGUAAAUCCAACAUAGAAAUUGUUUACAUUUAGUAAUGUAAUAUCCAAGGCUUAUGCAAAUAGAUCAUAGAUAUGUGUUUUUCAUUUACAUAUUACUUUCCUUCAUAAGAGCUUUGGCUGAUGCUGAAUAUACCAUAUAUUCCCUUAUUAAUGCCCCAGGGGAUGUUACCUUUUGCAAAUGAGAAAGUUUAUUAAAUUACUAAAGACCCUAAAAUAUAUUUUUCUUUUUAUAGUGUUAAAUAUAAAUCUUAAGUCCAGCUUUUGAUGAAUGAUUAUAGCCCUUAUAGCAAAAUUUUAGUCACUUAUGACCUAAAUUAACUUCUUUUAAUGUUAGAGGUGUUACGUUUAUACGGGAUGUUAACUAAGGAAUAUAUGGUAUGAUAAAACAUGUAUGGAUAAGUUAAGCUUUCAGUACUUUAUUCAUAUUUGGAAAAUGUUGAAAAUACAAAGUGGAUUUUUUUUUCUGCAGUUGUUUUAGAAAUAUGUAUUUAUGUGUAUUUCCUGCUUUCAAAGAGUUAAUAAUUAAAAGUGCCUGUGAAGCAAUGUAGAAAUUGUCUGACUUACUGGCUGGUCUGUGAUAAUUAUGAUCUCCUGUUUGGCAAGAAUUAUAUAUUACCGAGUUUCAGUGAGAAAAACCAUUCACCAGUCAUACGGUCUUUAAUAGAAGGGUUUCUAGUCAAGAAAUAUUAAAGUUUCUUACAUAUUCAUAUGAUUAAAAUGAUGGGUUUUUUAAAGCAAAAAUACUUUGAAAGCUGUAGGAUGCUAAUCUGAAUGUUAAAGACCAAUAAUGGAACAUAACAUUGUCAUUGGCUGAUCUCAAGGCUGGUUAAAGAAACAACUAAUCAAAAGAUGGAACCUUAAGCCAUGCCUGAUAUGGAAAUUUCCCCCCUGAAAAAAAAAAAAAAACAACUAAUUUUAAUCUGACUUGUAUGAUUUCUGCAAGCAGAUUGUGUCCAAUUUUAUGCAAUUUUUCAAUGAAAUAAUUUACAAGAAAAGUCUUUGGUAUAUACUAUAUAUUUAUUGUUCUUAAUGAUACAAGUACAUUGUUUUAACUGAAUUUGUAGUAAAGCCUAUAAAAAGGUAAGGGUAGUCUCCUUGGAAGCAUUGAGCACUUUGUUUGGAGCCCAGUCCGUUAACUGCGGCUUUUGAUUGGUUGAUUUUAAACUCAGACUUGACCAGUGACAGGGCUGCAUUUUGAGACUGGUCUCCAAAACUCAACUUUAUAGCCUUUGACCUUGGUUUUGUAUUAUUUCUGCAUGAAUGUUCAGAAUUCCUUGUAUUAUUAUUUGUCUCAUUUUGUCUUGGAUACAUGAAUAUAUGUACAAUAUUAUUGUCAUUAUUAUAAUAUGUGUUGUGUAAGUGUUUAUAGUUGGCUAGUUUGGAAGUACCUUUGUUAAAUUUCUAUUGUGUUCAGAUAUUCAGUGUACUUAUUAUAUGGUAUUUUAUCAAUUUUGUAUUGUCAAAAAUAGAGAUGCUCAUAUUGAUCUGUUUAACCAUUACCCUGCUAAAUUUCUAAAAUGGAUUGGUUCAUCAUUCAGUUUGGGCAGUACCACUUAUUAUUCAAAGGGUUGUUUGCUGAAAAUGUACUGACUGCAGACUGACUUUCAGGGUGAUCUUGGUCUGCACUGGUCACAAAGGUAGAAUCACUUGCCGCCAGCAAGCUAAAGGUUACUCGCCCACAGUUUGGGUGAAAUUUUUCAACAUAUGCAUUUCCAUGUUCCAAGUUUGGCAUAAAAUAUAUGUAUGACAUAGAAAAAUGAUAAAGUUAGUGAUUAAGCCUUAUCAUGCUGGGCACGAUUGAUUCUGCCUUUGCGACCAGUGUAGAUCAUGAUCAGCCUGAACAUCCAUGCAGUCUGAUCAAGAUCUGUACUGUUCGCUAUUCAGCCAGUAUGUUUUUGGUAAACACCCCUUUUAACAGUUAAUGGUACUGUCCAAAUUGAAAGAUGGACAAGUUUAUUAUAGAAAUUUAGCAGGGUAAGGGUUAAGUAUUAGAUACUUGUAAAAUGAAAAGAAGACUGUUGAUUAUCUUCAUUUAUUUCAAAAGCUUUGCAAUGGUAUACUCCCUUUUGCACAAUGAUUUGGGUUAUUUAUUAGAAAAUCAUAAGUUUGUACCAUUCAUCACUUUUACAGUAUCCACAUUUUAUAGAUUUUUUUAGGGGAAAAGUUUUCACCUAAAAUGUGUGAACGAGUCGCUUCAAAGCUGUGCAAUUGCUCUCAGUAGCUACACAAUUUUCUCUUUUUAUGAAAUGAAGCAAGGUACUGAUCUUAGUAUCACCUAUUAAUUGACUAAAUAGUAUUAUUUUUUCUUACUGUUUUUUUUUUUGGGUCUAUUAUUGUAUUAAACCAGAUUUGUGCUUUUGUACAUUUCAUCAUAAUUGUCUUCUUACCAAAAUAAUUUACAUCUAGAUUAUAAUUUCAUUUUGCCUUCCAUUCUUGUUUUGUGUCAUAGUUUUUGUUAUUUCUUGAUGUGCUUUCUUUAUAUUCAUUUCUUUUCAGUUUUGUUGAGCUUUGAAUUUAUUUAUUUCAUAGAGUGUAUGUGCUAAAUGUAUACUGCAACAGUGCACUUCUUUUUACAUAAUGGGUAGUAACAGUCGGCUAGAUGGAGCUUCCUUUUCAGUUUUAAAAAAUUACCAUUACUUGUUAAUAGAGAAAGUUAACUGGAAUUUGUGGCCUUAUCUUUUCUUAAAGGUGUUGUUCGAGGCCAUCAACUGGAUAUUUUAUUUGUUCAGUUUCCAAAAUGUUUGCCGAAAAUUUAUGGGGUUUUCUUUUCUUGGUGUGUUUGCAUUGAAGGGGGAGAGGAGAAGGGGAGCAGUUGAUGUCCAGCUAUUUUAACUGAAACCCCUUAUUGCUUUCGGACAAUAAGAAAAUUUGCUUAUAUUCUUUUAAAAACUUUCAUAAAAUAUCAUUUAUUGUUCUCAUUAUUGUUAUUAUGUGUUGGUACCUAUAUGAAAAAUUCUCAUGCAUUAUUCAGCCAGCGACUGAAAAGUUCUCGAGCAUUAUUCAGCCAUUUACUGAAAGUUCUCGUGUGUUAUUCAGCCAUUUGCUUAAAAGUUCUCCUGCAUUAUUCAACCACUGUCUAAAACUUUACUGUGCAUUAGUCAGCCAGUAAUCAAUACCAUAAAGAGUUAUCUACCAUUUGACCAUUUGCCAUUUCAAUUAGAAAAUGUUCAAUUUUUUUCAAGUAAGAGCUUGAGCCUUUUGCACUUAGGAAAACAGUCAGGAUUCGUGUGAUGAAAAAGUGCUUGUUGUAUAUAUUUACAGUCAGACCUAUAUUAAGCAGGCAGCCAAUGGAGGGGCACAGCAUUACUGCUUAAGGCAGAUGGCUGUUCAAGAGAAAUCAGAGUUACAACAAAUGUCAGUUUUUGAAGUUAACUGACUGUGUUAUAAAUGGCUGCUUGAUACAGGUGACUGCCGAGACAUGUUCAGCUGUAGUCAUUUCAUAUUGUUAUAUUUUUCAUAGUAUGUAUUUUUCAUAGUAUGUUUGUUGAGUGCAAUGAUAUAUUUGUUGUAAUGGUUGUAAUCAUUGAUAAAUUAUGCUUUUGUUUUAUUAAAAUAUGUUAAGAUUUUCACAGAA
Molecule: long non-coding RNA, 6343 nt
Organism: Mercenaria mercenaria
Lineage: Eukaryota; Metazoa; Mollusca; Bivalvia; Venerida; Veneridae
Exons: 2
Source: RefSeq, a predicted model, not a curated record